RNAcentral lists this unclassified non-coding RNA (934 nucleotides) under Zerene cesonia (dogface butterfly). RNAcentral's name for it is "uncharacterized LOC119834006, transcript variant X2". Lineage: Eukaryota; Metazoa; Arthropoda; Insecta; Lepidoptera; Pieridae. The record is from RNAcentral.
GUCUGCUGUGAUGUAGACACUUUUUUCUUUUGUGUUGUGAGUGAACUCUGGAGUGGGUGUUCUUUUAUAUAAUUCCUGUUCCUCAUUGCUACAAUGCCACACCGUUGCAUACUUGGAUGUAAAGGAACAGAUGUGCUGCAUGUCUUUCCGAAUCCACGCAAAUUUCACAAUCUUUUUAAGACUUGGGUCGAAAUUGUUGGAGGAAAACCAGAGAAUCUAUCUGACAAUGAAUUUCAUUACAAAAUGAGGAUAUGUGAUAUCCAUUUUAGUGAUAAUCAUAAAAAUCGCAAUAAACGCUUAAAUGCAUUGGCGUUACCAUGUCUUCAUUUGCCAGGUAUGCCCAGAGUCCAGCAGCCUGUUGUUGCCAGUGAGUGUCAGCCUUCUGCUUCCAAGCCUAUUCAUGUAAAUUUAGAAUGUCGACUUGGCGAGUUGGACAUGAGGAGGCGCCUCAGGACUUCCUCGACCUUCUCUUCGAGGAGGAUGAUAGGGAAGAGGAAGUCCUCGCCGUCGGAGAGGAGAGUGAAUGCGAGAUUUCGAAGACGAUAGGGAUGAUGUAGAUCGUUCACCGGAGGCUCCGCCUAUGUCUUCUCUUUCCCCAAACUUGCGCCAAGUGUCAUCGCCGUCAAUGGAAGAACAAUGCAAAGAAAUGCCGCCGCCGUCCUUCGCGUCCCGCGACAGGUCCCGAUCUCCCAUUGCUUCUUCGUCUGAAUCCUAGAACUUCUAUGCAGCUAGAGAACCAAAGACUUACAGAUGAAAAAGUUGAAGAAAUAGCAAAUUCUGCUGAAUCGCCAAAACAUAGCAUGCUCCAAGAACAUGAUUAUUGUUUUUCUUUAAGUCAAAAUGUUGUACCAAAGAAAAGUAAAAAAACUACAAAAAGAACUUCGAAUGAUACACUUACAUUAAACAAGAAAAUCCAUCAAACAACACUCAAAAA